GACAAUCAGUCCCCUUCUCGCCCUCUCUCGAAGGAGAUGCCAAGGUGAGGGUUGCUGAUUUACCUCUCUCAUUUUCUCGUUCUGACUUUCAUCAGCUGACUCGUUACUUUGAGACCAAAUACCGUCUCUAUUGUUUGUAUGAGGAUCCAUUUUCUUUCUUUUCUUAGGGUUUUUGAAAAGAAUAGGAAGAUAGAGAAUAAAAGGUGUUGACAUAUUUGAAGUUGCUGCAAUGUGCCAAAGGAAGUGCUUGCUUCCAGCACCACUGCGACAAAACAAGAAGUUGUCAUAUUUAGAAGAUCGACAAAUUAUUGAAACAAAUCUUUGGGCUGUGCUAAUAUCAUGGAAUGAUCAAACCUGUCAAUGAAAAUCAAUUCACUUGGAGAAACAUAUCCUUACGAUCGGACCGGAUCGGAUCGGUUACAUCAAAUCACUUGGAGAAACAAGACUUAUUUGUCAACUGUUUUUUUUUUUUUUUAACUUUGGUCAUUAAUAUCAUAUUGUAUUUAGUUUUUUUAGUUGCUAUUUAGAAGAGAUUGUGAUUGAUCUUUUAGUCUGUUAGCAAAUCUCAAAAAUCUCUACAUAUUUGAGAGACUUCUACAUAUUGAUUAUUGUAAAACAUGUUU
RNAcentral lists this long non-coding RNA (623 nucleotides) under Gossypium barbadense (sea-island cotton). Its description in RNAcentral is "long non-coding RNA (GBAR_LNC021177)". The record is from RNAcentral. Lineage: Eukaryota; Viridiplantae; Streptophyta; Magnoliopsida; Malvales; Malvaceae.